UGCCCUGUAGCUCAGUGGAAGAGCGAUCGCCUGUUAAGCGAAUGGUCGUAGGUUCGAUCCCUACCAGGGCAGCCA
RNAcentral lists this transfer RNA (75 nucleotides) under Cyanobacteria bacterium UBA11049. RNAcentral describes it as "tRNA-Asn". It matches the Rfam family "tRNA". Rfam says of the family: Transfer RNA (tRNA) molecules are approximately 80 nucleotides in length. Their secondary structure includes four short double-helical elements and three loops (D, anti-codon, and T loops). The record is from RNAcentral. Lineage: Bacteria; Bacillati; Cyanobacteriota.